CACUCCUGCGGGAGGCAGCAGUGGGGAAUUUUGGACAAUGGGCGAAAGCCUGAUCCAGCAAUGCCGCGUGAGUGAAGAAGGCCUUCGGGUUGUAAAGCUCUUUUGUCAGGGAAGAAACGGUGAAAGCUAAUAUCUUUUGCUAAUGACGGUACCUGAAGAAUAAGCACCGGCUAACUACGUGCCAGCAGCCGCGGUAAUACGUAGGGUGCAAGCGUUAAUCGGAAUUACUGGGCGUAAAGCGUGCGCAGGCGGUUUUGUAAGUCUGAUGUGAAAUCCCCGGGCUCAACCUGGGAAUUGCAUUGGAGACUGCAAGGCUAGAAUCUGGCAGAGGGGGGUAGAAUUCCACGUGUAGCAGUGAAAUGCGUAGAUAUGUGGAGGAACACCGAUGGCGAAGGCAGCCCCCUGGGUCAAGAUUGACGCUCAUGCACGAAAGCGUGGGGAGCAAACAGGAUUAGAAACCCGGGUAGUCCCAUGAU
This 476-nucleotide ribosomal RNA is filed under the name uncultured organism. Its description in RNAcentral is "partial 16S ribosomal RNA". It matches the Rfam family "Bacterial small subunit ribosomal RNA", at positions 334 to 801 of the family's 1533-position model. The record is from RNAcentral.